Molecule: transfer RNA, 77 nt
Filed under: Anaerolineaceae bacterium
Lineage: Bacteria; Bacillati; Chloroflexota; Anaerolineae; Anaerolineales; Anaerolineaceae
Description: tRNA-His
Rfam family: tRNA
About the family: Transfer RNA (tRNA) molecules are approximately 80 nucleotides in length. Their secondary structure includes four short double-helical elements and three loops (D, anti-codon, and T loops).
Source: RNAcentral
GAGUCCAUAGCUCAGCUGGAUAGAGUAUUUGACUAUGAAUCAAGAGGCCGCAGUUUCGAAGCCUGCCGGGCUCGCCA